This 253-nucleotide ribosomal RNA is filed under the name uncultured prokaryote. RNAcentral describes it as "partial 16S ribosomal RNA". It matches the Rfam family "Bacterial small subunit ribosomal RNA", at positions 524 to 776 of the family's 1533-position model. The record is from RNAcentral.
UACAGAGGGUGCAAGCGUUAAUCGGAAUUACUGGGCGUAAAGCGCGCGUAGACGGUUACUCAAGUCGGGUGUGAAAGCCCCGGGCUCAACCUGGGAAUUGCAUUCGAGACUGCGUAGCUAGGGUGCGGAAGAGGGAAGUGGAAUUUCCGGUGUAGCGGUGAAAUGCGUAGAUAUCGGAAGGAACAUCAGUGGCGAAAGCGACUUCCUGGUCCAGCACCGACGUUCAGGCGCGAAAGCGUGGGGAGCAAACAGG